RNAcentral lists this ribosomal RNA (854 nucleotides) under Bacillus altitudinis. Its description in RNAcentral is "bacterial SSU rRNA". It matches the Rfam family "Bacterial small subunit ribosomal RNA", at positions 104 to 944 of the family's 1533-position model. Lineage: Bacteria; Bacillati; Bacillota; Bacilli; Caryophanales; Bacillaceae. The record is from RNAcentral.
GGGUGAGUAACACGUGGGUAACCUGCCUGUAAGACUGGGAUAACUCCGGGAAACCGGAGCUAAUACCGGAUAGUUCCUUGAACCGCAUGGUUCAAGGAUGAAAGACGGUUUCGGCUGUCACUUACAGAUGGACCCGCGGCGCAUUAGCUAGUUGGUGAGGUAACGGCUCACCAAGGCGACGAUGCGUAGCCGACCUGAGAGGGUGAUCGGCCACACUGGGACUGAGACACGGCCCAGACUCCUACGGGAGGCAGCAGUAGGGAAUCUUCCGCAAUGGACGAAAGUCUGACGGAGCAACGCCGCGUGAGUGAUGAAGGUUUUCGGAUCGUAAAGCUCUGUUGUUAGGGAAGAACAAGUGCAAGAGUAACUGCUUGCACCUUGACGGUACCUAACCAGAAAGCCACGGCUAACUACGUGCCAGCAGCCGCGGUAAUACGUAGGUGGCAAGCGUUGUCCGGAAUUAUUGGGCGUAAAGGGCUCGCAGGCGGUUUCUUAAGUCUGAUGUGAAAGCCCCCGGCUCAACCGGGGAGGGUCAUUGGAAACUGGGAAACUUGAGUGCAGAAGAGGAGAGUGGAAUUCCACGUGUAGCGGUGAAAUGCGUAGAGAUGUGGAGGAACACCAGUGGCGAAGGCGACUCUCUGGUCUGUAACUGACGCUGAGGAGCGAAAGCGUGGGGAGCGAACAGGAUUAGAUACCCUGGUAGUCCACGCCGUAAACGAUGAGUGCUAAGUGUUAGGGGGUUUCCGCCCCUUAGUGCUGCAGCUAACGCAUUAAGCACUCCGCCUGGGGAGUACGGUCGCAAGACUGAAACUCAAAGGAAUUGACGGGGGCCCGCACAAGCGGUGAGCAUGUGG